Molecule: unclassified non-coding RNA, 614 nt
Filed under: Hevea brasiliensis (rubber tree)
Lineage: Eukaryota; Viridiplantae; Streptophyta; Magnoliopsida; Malpighiales; Euphorbiaceae
Source: RNAcentral
AUGUUUUUUUUUUUUUUUUUUUGACUUGCUUUUCCGGCUUCUAGCAUGACAGUUUUAUGGGUUCCACAAAAUGAAAUGAACUGAUUUUUAAUUAUUACUUCUAUACCUUCUAAUUAUUUAUUCCCAUGGCCAUGACCUUCCUACAGUAACUAUCUGCAUUUGAAAUAGUUGGUGUGCUUUAACACUAUAGUUUAAUAUUAAAAUCCGCUACAAAUAUUUGGGUGGUGGCCUUAAUUUUGAUCCUUUUUUAGGUCCUAGAUUUAAUUUAAAUUCUAAAGCAAAAACCAUUCUCAUAUUCAUCUUGUUGAUGUUGGUUUCAAUUUGUGGCACAUUUAUGAAACUGCAUCAUUUUGUUUUUGUAACCAUCAGUUGGAACCAGUGAAUUUCUGAUCUUCAACUUUGGAUCAAAUUUCUUCUAGCUUGAUGGAGUUGUUCAUAUAUGUUUCCAUGAUGACCAAACAUUUUGUUGAUCAUGGAGUAUCAACAUUUCGAGUUUUUUGUUUUUUUUUUUUUAAGUGAACUGACAUCCUGUUGAGUUCAUGAAUUGAUCUAUACUUGUAGGGGCAGAGCUAGAAAAUUAUUUUUGAGGCGGCUAACAUUAUUGAUUCAAUAUA